AUUGAACGCUGGCGGCAGGCCUAACACAUGCAAGUCGAACGAGUUGCGGACGGGUGAGUAAUUUCUGGGAAACUGCCCGAUGGAGGGGGAUAACUACUGGAAACGGUAUCUAAUACCGCAUACCAUCGGAUGUGCCCAGAUGGGAUUAGCUAGUGGGUGGGGUACCGGCUCACCUAGGCGACGAUCCCUAUCUGGUCUGAGAGGAUGACCAGCCACACUGGAACGGAGACACGGCCCAGACGCCUACGGGAGGAAGCAGUGGGGAAUAUUGCACAAUGGGCGCAAGCCUGAUGCAGCCAUGCCGCGGGUAUGAAGAAGGCCUUCGGGUUGUAAAGUACUUUCAGCGAGGAGGCGUUACUCGCAGAAGAAGCACCUGCUAACUCCGGGCCAGCAGCCGCGGUAAUAC
RNAcentral lists this ribosomal RNA (406 nucleotides) under uncultured bacterium. RNAcentral describes it as "partial 16S ribosomal RNA". It matches the Rfam family "Bacterial small subunit ribosomal RNA", at positions 30 to 526 of the family's 1533-position model. The record is from RNAcentral.